This 468-nucleotide ribosomal RNA is filed under the name uncultured bacterium. RNAcentral describes it as "partial 16S ribosomal RNA". It matches the Rfam family "Bacterial small subunit ribosomal RNA", at positions 28 to 507 of the family's 1533-position model. The record is from RNAcentral.
GAUGAACGCUGGCGGCGUGCUUAACACAUGCAAGUCGAACGGAAACGAGCUGCGCUUGUAUGCUGCUGGAGUGGCGAACGGGUCAGUAACACGUGAGUAACCGGCCCUUGACGUGAGGAAUACUUCAGGAAACGGGGUCCAAUAACCGAUAAGUGCCUCUGCUGCAUAGUAGUUAUUGGAUUGUGUAGGCGGUUGGGGAUGGACUCGCGGCUUAUCAGGUUGUGGGUGGGGUAGUGGCUUACCAAGGCUUUGACUGGUAGCCGGGCUGAGCAGGUGACCUGCCCAAUUGGGCCUGAGCUACGGCACAGUCUCGUACGGUAGGCAGCGGUGGGGAGUAUUGUCCAAUAGGAGGAAGGCUAACGUAGUAGCGCCGCGUGGGGGAUGACGGGAUGCGCGUUGUGAACUGCUUUCGCUUGAGACGAAGGGUGAGUGACGGUAAUGGAUAAAGAAGCACCGGCUAACUACGUG